AGAGUUUGAUCAUGGCUCAGGAUGAACGCUGGCGGCGUGCUUAACACAUGCAAGUCGAACGGACCGGAGGCCUUCGGACCUCUGGUUAGUGGCGGACGGGUGAGUAACGCGUGAGGAACCUGCCUUGGAGUGGGGAAUAACGGUUGGAAACGACCGCUAAUACCGCAUAAUGCAACGGGGGCGCAUGCUCCGGUUGCCAAAGAUUUAUCGCUCUGAGAUGGCCUCGCGUCUGAUUAGCUAGUUGGUGGGGCAACGGCCCACCAAGGCGACGAUCAGUAGCCGGACUGAGAGGUUGGCCGGCCACAUUGGGACUGAGACACGGCCCAGACUCCUACGGGAGGCAGCAGUGGGGAAUAUUGGGCAAUGGGCGCAAGCCUGACCCAGCAACGCCGCGUGAAGGAAGAAGGCUUUCGGGUUGUAAACUUCUUUUAACAGGGACGAUGAUGACGGUACCUGUUGAAUAAGCUCCGGCUAACUACGUGCCAGCAGCCGCGGUAAUACGUAGGGAGCAAGCGUUAUCCGGAUUUACUGGGUGUAAAGGGCGUGUAGGCGGGACUGCAAGUCAGAUGUGAAAACUCAGGGCUCAACCCUGAGCCUGCAUUUGAAACUGUAGUUCUUGAGUACUGGAGAGGUUGACGGAACUCCUAGUGUAGCGGUGAAAUGCGUAGAUAUUAGGAAGAACACCAGUGGCGAAGGCGGUCAACUGGACAGCAACUGACGCUGAGGCGCGAAAGCGUGGGUAGCAAACAGGAUUAGAUACCCUGGUAGUCCACGCAGUAAACGAUGGAUACUAGGUGUGC
This 800-nucleotide ribosomal RNA is filed under the name uncultured bacterium. Its description in RNAcentral is "bacterial SSU rRNA". It matches the Rfam family "Bacterial small subunit ribosomal RNA", at positions 8 to 825 of the family's 1533-position model. The record is from RNAcentral.